GCCACUAGCUCAUCAGGAAAGAGCGUCAACCCUUUAAGUUGAGAGUGCGAGGUUCGAUUCCGGUAGUCGGCACCA
Molecule: transfer RNA, 75 nt
Filed under: Escherichia coli
Lineage: Bacteria; Pseudomonadati; Pseudomonadota; Gammaproteobacteria; Enterobacterales; Enterobacteriaceae
Description: tRNA-Lys
Source: RNAcentral